Molecule: long non-coding RNA, 242 nt
Filed under: Setaria italica (foxtail millet)
Lineage: Eukaryota; Viridiplantae; Streptophyta; Magnoliopsida; Poales; Poaceae
Description: long non-coding RNA (SITA_LNC001619)
Source: RNAcentral
UCGGCCGUCGAGGACCAGCCUGGUGCGAAGAGAAGUAGGGAAUCGAUGGCGUGACGCGACGGGCAACAAGGAGGCGGCGAUCAUUGGACGACGCCGGGCACGAGACAAGGACGAGGAAGCUGCUGAUAUCCACACCGUAAACCAUCUCCGCCGCUUCUCGGAGCUCGUGCGGCGCAGAGAUAUUUAAAUCGAUCGCCCCGCCCGCUGCCCGGACGCCCAAAAGGGAAGGGAAUGUAUCGUGC